CUGAUUUUGAAAUGAAUGGUUGAUGAGUUGAUAUUAUAAAUUCCCUUGAGCCAGUGUUUCUAGGACUUACUUUUGCAAACACUGUCGUGGAGAGAGUUGCUUUGUGUCCUGCAGCGCCGCUGCCCUGUUUAUUGGUGUUCGUGGGGAAUGACCGGAACACAGCAGACUCAGCCAUGCAGGGCGUCCCCCCAGCAGUAGCUCUGCAGUGAUCUCAUCAGGCCCUCCCUUAUUGUCUAACAAAAAUGUGCUGUGUGGCCCACUUCACAGCAGAGAAGGGAGCUGCCACACCAUGGCCCCAUGGAAGCCAGGGCCUCCUGGUGACAGCCAGCUGCAGCCCUCCUGGCCACACAACACACAGCCCUGGGACAAUCAGCAGAGACCCCUCCGAGAGCCACUCUACCAGAAAGAACACAGCAGUCAGAGAGUGUGAAGCACAAAUCCCUGGACCCAAGGAGUCCUCUCGUCACCCCGUCACUGCUCCCGGCUCCGUCAGGGUGAAGGAUAAAGAGACUAUUCCACACGACGGCGGCCUCACCACCUCACUGAUGGCCCCGGUACCGCGAUCUGAGUGGCCUGUGACCGCAGGCCCCUCUACUCAGCGUAUCCCUCCGCGGCCACCUGGGCGGUGGGCACCUGGGGCGUGAUCGCUUCGGUUUAUGCUCGGGGGAAAACUCGCCUCCUCCCGUGGUACAAAGGCGGAGGUGAGGGAGAGCAGGUGGGGACAAGAGGCUGAGGGAACUGGAACAGAUGAGAGGGCAGAGGAGAGAAUGCGCCCAGCCCGCAGGUGAAACGCCCUGUCGGCCACCAGGUGGCGGGCCAGCGCUGUCUGACCCGACCACGGCGCUCUGGAGCCGCCCGGGGGGAGCCACGGGCCACCACGAAGCUGAAAGGCAUGAAAGGGCUGAGAGGGACGCCCGACGCACGACAGACACACACACACACACCACAAUGCAUGCACACAAUGAACACCACAAUGCACAUACACACACGCGCCCCAUAACACGCACCGCAAUAGACACUCCACAUACCACAACUCACAUCACAACACCCAACACGUACCACAACACAUACACCACGACACGAUACACAUGCCAUAACACAUACCCAACAUAACACACAACAUAAGCACAACACAUACAACACACACCAUGGACAUACCCAACAUUACAUACAACACAUACACCACAACAUACACACAGAACAACACUCCACCACACACAUUUAUCCAACAACCCACACACACACACAACACGGGCACACACGGCACAACACACCCAUCACAUGCAAGAGGCUAUUCGCAUCUGCACACCACUUUGCGGGGGUGGCUCCUCAGUCCUGGCUCUUCUGUCUUCUCUCCCCUCCACCCCCACAUCUGUGAAUCCCCAACCCCUCCCCACCUC
This 1400-nucleotide long non-coding RNA is filed under the name Fukomys damarensis (Damara mole-rat). RNAcentral's name for it is "lncRNA (ENSFDAG00000027700.1)". Lineage: Eukaryota; Metazoa; Chordata; Mammalia; Rodentia; Bathyergidae. The record is from RNAcentral.